RNAcentral lists this ribosomal RNA (253 nucleotides) under uncultured bacterium. RNAcentral's name for it is "partial 16S ribosomal RNA". It matches the Rfam family "Bacterial small subunit ribosomal RNA", at positions 524 to 776 of the family's 1533-position model. The record is from RNAcentral.
UACGUAGGUGGCAAGCGUUGUCCGGAAUCAUUGGGCGUAAAGCGCGUGUAGGCGGUCUGGUAAGUCCGCUGUGAAAGUCGGGGGCUCAACCCUCGGAUGCCGGUGGAUACUGUCGGGCUUGAGUACGGAAGAGGCGAGUGGAAUUCCUGGUGUAGCGGUGGAAUGCGCAGAUAUCGGGAGGAACACCAGUAGCGAAGGCGGCUCGCUGGGCCAUACCUGACGCUGAGACGCGAAAGCGUGGGGAGCAAACAGG